This 484-nucleotide ribosomal RNA is filed under the name uncultured bacterium. RNAcentral's name for it is "partial 16S ribosomal RNA". It matches the Rfam family "Bacterial small subunit ribosomal RNA", at positions 30 to 507 of the family's 1533-position model. The record is from RNAcentral.
AUUGAACGCUGGCGGCAGGCCUAACACAUGCAAGUCGAGCGGAUGAAGGGAGCUUGCUCCUGGAUUCAGCGGCGGACGGGUGAGUAAUGCCUAGGAAUCUGCCUGGUAGUGGGGGAUAACGUCCGGAAACGGGCGCUAAUACCGCAUACGUCCUGAGGGAGAAAGUGGGGGAUCUUCGGACCUCACGCUAUCAGAUGAGCCUAGGUCGGAUUAGCUAGUUGGUGGGGUAAAGGCCUACCAAGGCGACGAUCCGUAACUGGUCUGAGAGGAUGAUCAGUCACACUGGAACUGAGACACGGUCCAGACUCCUACGGGAGGCAGCAGUGGGGAAUAUUGGACGAUGGGCGAAAGCCUGAUCCAGCCAUGCCGCGUGUGUGAAGAAGGUCUUCUGAUUGUAAAGCACUUUAAGUUGGGAGGAAGGGCAGUAAGUUAAUACGUUGCUGUUUUGACGUUACCAACAGAAUAAGCACCGGCUAACUUCGUG